Molecule: long non-coding RNA, 1748 nt
Organism: Bos taurus (domestic cattle)
Lineage: Eukaryota; Metazoa; Chordata; Mammalia; Artiodactyla; Bovidae
Source: Ensembl
ACAAUUAAACAUGUAAAUAUUGCUGAAUACUGAAGUUAAAGCUCCAGUAUUUUGGUCAUCUGAUGCAAACAGACGACUCAUUGGAAAAGACCCUGAUGCUGGGAAAAAUUGAGGGCAGAAGAAGAGGAUAUCAGAGGAUGAGAUGGCUGGAUGGCAUCACUGGUGCAAUGAACAUGAACUUGGGCAAACUCCAGAGAUGGUGAGGGACAGGGAGGCCUGGUGUGCUGCAGCCCAUGGAGUCCCAGAGUCGGACACAACUGGGUGACUGAACAACAGCAACGAUAAAUGUAUAAAUACAGCCUUUAAUAAGACAUGGAUCGACGAAUUUGAAAACAGGGAGCAUUCUUUUUUUUUUGUCUAGAAAGUUCCCCAGGAUCAUAGUAACUAAAGCGCCAUGAAGACAGAGCAAAUCCAAACUAAAUAUUGCCACCUACAAGGAUUUGAUCCAAUUUCUAACUUGCUGAAAACACUUGACAAUGUACUAUUUAUCUCCAUGUUUGUUUAUUCCACAGGCUGUUAAAUUAGAUUUGCAAUGCGAUCAUGAUAGCAGAAAGGCAUGUUCAUUUGGUGUUUGCUGAAAAGAAAAAAUUCAACAGUAAUUAGCAUGCGGUAAUUACCAAGUAAUACUGGAAAUUCUAUAGGUUUGUAUUGAAAACCGAAACUGAAUCCCAGAGGCUGGAACACAGGAAGGAGGACCAUUUGGAAGCAGGCCUCAAAACGAGAACACAUCUCACUGGCAAUGCGUCCAUGGACUUACGAAGGCGAGCCAAUGGGAUGCAUGGAGGACAGAAUGACUUGGUUGAAAUAUGGGGGUGGAAUUUGGGAUGAAGCAUCAGAGGAAAGGAUCUACGCCAGCUUCCUGGGUCCUCCUUCUCAUAAAAGGAAUUGUUUAAACUACCAAUGUCGUAUGACACUUCCCGUGUAGAUCACUGACAAUUUUUUAACAUUGGCAAAGGGCUAUGCUUCACUUGUUUCCAGAAUUUGACCCUUUCUCACCUCCUCUGCUGUCCCCUCCCAGGUCCAAGCCACCUGGUCUUCUCACCUGAAUGAGGAGCCUGGCAGGCUACAGUCCAUAGGGUUGCGGAGAGUCAGACACGACAGAGCACAGCGGCAGACAAGAUAAUUAGCAGUGUUUCUACUUGGACACACCCUCUCCCCACUUACUCUCUUUACCUCCCUGUGUCUCCCCUUCCCCCUCAGCCUUCUGCUCCUUUCCCGCUACAUCCGCUCUUUUUAUCCCUUCACACUGUUCACUAUUCACUUACCUUCUCUCACAAGACUCCUGUGGCCACACCCAAAGUAAGUCCAAGUCCUGCAACUAGCAAGACCUGUCCGUGUAGCUCAUCACAGCACACUAGCUCAGGCCUUCAAGUCUGAACUCUUGAGACGCAGCAGCUGAUUGGGCCAGGUGUGUGGGGCGUCCACCUGAUUUAAUCACUUGUGGCCGGAGGAGGAGGGGCAAGAUCAUACCUGUGUUGGUCUGUGGCUUCUAGGGCUGUGAAAGUUUCUUUAAAUUAGGACAGUGGUACCUCUGGUGGGAGAAGGGAGGAGAGGUACCCAAGUGUCUGCAACUACUUUAGUUCGGGUUUAUUUCUUAAAUUCUGUGUUGGGUUCCCUGGUGUUAAACAUUCUUUUUCACACUAUUUUGAAUGUCUGAAAUCCUUCUUGAAAGUUUCCAAAUGAAAAGAAAAUUGCACUUCUUGAAAUUAAAAGGAAGAAAAUGUGAAUAAAAUUGCAUGUAUAUGGAC